This 25-nucleotide microRNA is filed under the name Equus caballus (horse). RNAcentral's name for it is "eca-miR-9103". The record is from miRBase by way of RNAcentral. Lineage: Eukaryota; Metazoa; Chordata; Mammalia; Perissodactyla; Equidae.
CCCAAGUCUUAUCUGUCUCAGGUUC